UCGGAAUCGCUAGUAAUCGUGGAUCAGAAUGCCACGGUGAAUACGUUCCCGGGCCUUGUACACACCGCCCGUCACACCAUGGGAGUGGGUUGCAAAAGAAGUAGGUAGCUUAACCUUCGGGAGGGCGCUUACCACUUUGUGAUUCAUGACUGGGGUGAAGUCGUAACAAGGUAACCGUAGGGGAACCUGCGGUUGGAUCACCUCCUUACCUUAAAGAAGC
RNAcentral lists this ribosomal RNA (220 nucleotides) under Escherichia coli. RNAcentral describes it as "partial 16S ribosomal RNA". It matches the Rfam family "Bacterial small subunit ribosomal RNA", at positions 1326 to 1533 of the family's 1533-position model. RNAcentral also lists the same sequence under 1 other name. The record is from RNAcentral. Lineage: Bacteria; Pseudomonadati; Pseudomonadota; Gammaproteobacteria; Enterobacterales; Enterobacteriaceae.